Molecule: ribosomal RNA, 806 nt
Filed under: uncultured Planctomycetota bacterium
Lineage: Bacteria; Pseudomonadati; Planctomycetota
Description: bacterial SSU rRNA
Rfam family: Bacterial small subunit ribosomal RNA
Source: RNAcentral
GGAUUAGGCAUGCAAGUCGUACGAGAAAGGUUUCUUCGGAGACCGAGUAAAGUGGCGAACGGGUGAGUAAUGCAUAGACAACUUGCCCCUGAGAUGGGAAUAACGUCUCGAAAGGGACGCUAAUGCCCAAUGUCGUCCGCGGCUGGAGGGCUGCGGAUGAAAGGAGGCCUCUGACUCAAGCUUCCGCUCAGGGAGAGGUUUAUGUCCUAUUAGCUUGUUGGUGAGGUAACGGCUCACCAAGGCUGCGAUGGGUAGCCGACCUGAGAGGGUGACCGGCCACAUUGGGACUGAGACACUGCCCAAACUCCUACGGGAGGCUGCAGUCGAGAAUCUUCCGCAAUGCGCGCAAGCGUGACGGAGCGACGCCGCGUGGGUGAUGAAGGCCUUCGGGUUGUAAAGCCCUGUCAGUUGCUAGGAAUUGCAGGUGGUAAAUAGUCAUCUGUUUGACCAUGCAUCAAAGGAAGCACCGGCUAAAUACGUGCCAGCAGCCGCGGUAAUACGUAUGGUGCAAACGUUGUUCGGAAUCACUGGGCCUAAAGAGCGCGUAGGCGGUUGGAAUAGUCAGACGUGAAAUCCCUCGGCUCAACCGGGGAACUGCGUCUGAAACUGUCCAGCUAGAGUGCAGGAGGGGAGAGUGGAAUUCCUGGUGGAGCGGUGAAAUGCGUAGAUAUCAGGAGGAACGCCGGUGGCGAAAGCGACUCUCUGGCCUGCUACUGACGCUGAGGCGCGAAAGCUAGGGGAGCAAACGGGAUUAGAUACCCCGGUAGUCCUAGCCCUAAACGAUGGGCACUAAGUAGAGGGGUUUU